AUGCACGCUGGCGGCGUGCCUAAUACAUGCAAGUCGAGCGAACAGACGAGGAGCUUGCUCCUCUGACGUUAGCGGCGGACGGGUGAGUAACACGUGGAUAACCUACCUAUAAGACUGGGAUAACUUCGGGAAACCGGAGCUAAUACCGGAUAAUAUAUUGAACCGCAUGGUUCAAUAGUGAAAGACGGUUUUGCUGUCACUUAUAGAUGGAUCCGCGCCGCAUUAGCUAGUUGGUAAGGUAACGGCUUACCAAGGCAACGAUGCGUAGCCGACCUGAGAGGGUGAUCGGCCACACUGGAACGGAGACACGGUCCAGACUCCUACGGGAGGCAGCAGUAGGGAAUCUUCCGCAAUGGGCGAAAGCUUGACGGAGCAACGCCGCGUGAGUGAUGAAGGUCUUCGGAUCGUAAAACUCUGUUAUUAGGGAAGAACAAAUGUGUAAGUAACUAUGCACGUCUUGACGGUACCUAAUCAGAAAGCCACGGCUAACUACGUG
RNAcentral lists this ribosomal RNA (496 nucleotides) under uncultured bacterium. RNAcentral's name for it is "partial 16S ribosomal RNA". It matches the Rfam family "Bacterial small subunit ribosomal RNA", at positions 29 to 507 of the family's 1533-position model. The record is from RNAcentral.